GACGAACGCUGGCGGCGUGCUUAACACAUGCAAGUCGAACGGAAAGGCCCUGCUUUUGUGGGGUGCUCGAGUGGCGAACGGGUGAGUAACACGUGAGUAACCUGCCCUUGACUUUGGGAUAACUUCAGGAAACUGGGGCUAAUACCGGAUAGGAGCUCCUGCUGCAUGGUGGGGGUUGGAAAGUUUCGGCGGUUGGGGAUGGACUCGCGGCCUAUCAGCUUGUUGGGGGGGUAGUGGCUUACCAAGGCUUUGACGGGUAGCCGGCCUGAGAGGGUGACCGGCCACAUUGGGACUGAGAUACGGCCCAGACGCCUACGGGAGGCAGCAGGGGGGAAUAUUGCACAAUGGGCGGAAGCCUGAUGCAGCAACGCCGCGUGCGGGAUGACGGCCUUCGGGUUGUAAACCGCUUUCGCCUGUGACGAAGCGUGAGUGACGGUAAUGGGUAAAGAAGCACCGGCUAACUACGUG
This 468-nucleotide ribosomal RNA is filed under the name uncultured bacterium. RNAcentral describes it as "partial 16S ribosomal RNA". It matches the Rfam family "Bacterial small subunit ribosomal RNA", at positions 28 to 507 of the family's 1533-position model. The record is from RNAcentral.